Molecule: unclassified non-coding RNA, 284 nt
Filed under: Hevea brasiliensis (rubber tree)
Lineage: Eukaryota; Viridiplantae; Streptophyta; Magnoliopsida; Malpighiales; Euphorbiaceae
Source: RNAcentral
AGGUUGAAAGGUUUAGCUACCGUUCGUGUUUUGGGUGUUGAUAGGCUAUAAAAGGUAAGUAACACUAACUUUAAUAAAUGAUAAUUUAUUUACUUGAAUGUAAUUAGACUUAUGAUCAUCCACAUGCAUCAUUUUAUGAUAUUAUUAGUUUAUAUGUAUCUGAAACACAAAUAUGUUGCAUUAUUGCAUAAUUAUUCUUAAUGCAUGAUGUUGGAUGACCCACUAGUUUUCUCAUGGUACAGAUAUGUUAUAUGUUAUGAUCAUGCAUGAUGUUAUGUGGUAAG